CAUUACGAAGCUUAGAGCGUUAACCUUUUAAGUUAAAGAUAGGGACACCCAGUCUCCGUAGUGA
Molecule: transfer RNA, 64 nt
Filed under: Eothenomys melanogaster (Pere David's vole)
Lineage: Eukaryota; Metazoa; Chordata; Mammalia; Rodentia; Cricetidae
Description: tRNA-Lys
Source: RNAcentral